This 908-nucleotide ribosomal RNA is filed under the name uncultured bacterium. RNAcentral describes it as "bacterial SSU rRNA". It matches the Rfam family "Bacterial small subunit ribosomal RNA", at positions 33 to 932 of the family's 1533-position model. The record is from RNAcentral.
ACGCUAGCUACAGGCUUAACACAUGCAAGUCGAGGGGAAACGGCAUUGAGUGCUUGCACUCUUUGGACGUCGACCGGCGCACGGGUGAGUAACGCGUAUCCAACCUUCCCAUUAUUGUGGGAUAACCUGCCGAAAGGCAGACUAAUACCGCAUAGUCUUCGAUGACGGCAUCAGAUUUGAAGUAAAGAUUUAUCGGUAAUGGAUGGGGAUGCGUCUGAUUAGCUUGUUGGCGGGGUAACGGCCCACCAAGGCGACGAUCAGUAGGGGUUCUGAGAGGAAGGUCCCCCACAUUGGAACUGAGACACGGUCCAAACUCCUACGGGAGGCAGCAGUGAGGAAUAUUGGUCAAUGGACGGAAGUCUGAACCAGCCAAGUAGCGUGCAGGAUGACGGCCCUAUGGGUUGUAAACUGCUUUUGUAUGGGGAUAAAGUUAGGGACGUGUCCCUAUUUGCAGGUACCAUACGGAUAAGGACCGGCUAAUUCCGUGCCAGCAGCCGCGGUAAUACGGAAGGUCCAGGCGUUAUCCGGAUUUAUUGGGUUUAAAGGGAGCGUAGGCUGGAGAUUAAGUGUGUUGUGAAAUGUAGACGCUCAACGUCUGAAUUGCAGCGCAUACUGGUUUCCUUGAGUACGCACAACGUUGGCGGAAUUCGUCGUGUAGCGGUGAAAUGCUUAGAUAUGACGAAGAACUCCGAUUGCGAAGGCAGCUGACGGGAGCGCAACUGACGCUUAAGCUCGAAGGUGCGGGUAUCAAACAGGAUUAGAUACCCUGGUAGUCCGCACAGUAAACGAUGGAUGCCCGCUGUUGGUACCUGGUAUCAGCGGCUAAGCGAAAGCAUUAAGCAUCCCACCUGGGGAGUACGCCGGCAACGGUGAAACUCAAAGGAAUUGACGGGGGCCCGCACAAGCGG